Molecule: long non-coding RNA, 880 nt
Filed under: Carica papaya (papaya)
Lineage: Eukaryota; Viridiplantae; Streptophyta; Magnoliopsida; Brassicales; Caricaceae
Description: long non-coding RNA (CPAP_LNC013731)
Source: RNAcentral
GCAACCCCAAAUAUUUAAUAGGAUCCACCAAUGAGAACAAGUUCGGUAAUCACAUUACCAUCCUAUGCACGCACAUUGUGAAAAUGAUCUUGAAAUAGUAUACUUCAAAACACUGAACUAGCAACUUCCAAUGCAAUUUCAUUAUUUCCUGGUUACCAAGAAAACGCAACCAGGAAGAAAUGGCAGAAAGAAUCAUCACCAGUUCCACGAACCCAAGUAAAACAGAAAAAUAAACGUCAAAAAAAACCUCGCCCAUAACUUGUCCAUUCAUUAACAAUGAACCGAAUAAACAGGAAAAUAAAAAUGUGCUAUAAACUGAUCGUGCUAAGUUUUAGCUAGACAUCCAAACUUCAUUUCCCCUACAUUUCACACACUUACUCGCCAACCAAACAAAAAACCCAAACUACACCUAUAAUUAACAGCAACGGAUUCCAAAAACCCACGUAAUAGUCGUAAAAUCAAGAUCAAUAUGAAACUAAAAAAAGACCCCCAAUCACGAGAUUAACCAACAAUACCAGAUAGAAAAAACGAAAGCUCUCCAUACCUAAUGAUGAUCGCAGCUGUGUCUUCGUCAAAACCGGAAAUGAGAUUUUCCGGCGAGAGAAGAGAAAGAGGACAUUUGAGAGAUACAACGCAGAGAGGAGGACUGAGACAGAGCCAGACUAGCUAGUAGUCUAAACUCUAAAACCGCGUUCUGCUUUUUCCCUCUUUCUCCAUUGGAGGAAUUAAAGCUUUCUGAAAGAACUCUUGAUUGGUAGUUUGAAUUGACAACCAUAAAGCAAAAGCCUUUUACUUCACAUGUAGAGUUUCAGUUUUUAUUUUUAACAAAUUUUAUUAUUCUGGAAAAAAAAAAUUAUUUUGUAAAAAAUUACAAUAAAAG